GACGAACGCUGGCGGCGUGCUUAACACAUGCAAGUCGAACGGAAAGGCCCUGCUUUUGUGGGGUGCUCGAGUGGCGAACGGGUGAGUAACACGUGAGUAACCUGCCCUUGACUUUGGGAUAACUUCAGGAAACUGGGGCUAAUACCGGAUAGGAGCUCCUGCUGCAUGGUGGGGGUUGGAAAGUUUCGGCGGUUGGGGAUGGACUCGCGGCUUAUCAGCUUGUUGGUGGGGUAGUGGCUUACCAAGGCUUUGACGGGUAGCCGGCCUGAGAGGGUGACCGGCCACAUUGGGACUGAGAUACGGCCCAGACUCCUACGGGAGGCAGCAGUGGGGAAUAUUGCAAAAUGGGCGGAAGCCUGAUGCAGCCACGCCGCGUGCGGGAUGACGGCCUUCGGGUUGUAAACCGCUUUCGCAUGUGACGAGGCGUGAGUGACGGUAAUGGGUAAAGAAGCACCGGCUAACUACGUG
Molecule: ribosomal RNA, 468 nt
Filed under: uncultured bacterium
Lineage: Bacteria
Description: partial 16S ribosomal RNA
Rfam family: Bacterial small subunit ribosomal RNA
Source: RNAcentral